Molecule: ribosomal RNA, 406 nt
Filed under: uncultured bacterium
Lineage: Bacteria
Description: partial 16S ribosomal RNA
Rfam family: Bacterial small subunit ribosomal RNA
Source: RNAcentral
AUUGAACGCUGGCGGCAGGCCUAACACAUGCAAGUCGAACGCGUGGCGGACGGGUGAGUAAUGUCUGGGAAACUGCCUGAUGGAGGGGGAUAACUACUGGAAACGGUAGCUAAUACCGCAUACCAUCGGAUGUGCCCAGAUGGGAUUAGCUAGUAGGUGGGGUAAAGGCUCACCUAGGCGACGAUCCCUAGCUGGUCUUAGAGGAUGACCAGCCACACUGGAAAUGAGACACGGGCCAGACUCCUAAGGGAGGCAGCAGGGGGGAAUAUUGCACAAUGGGGGCAAGCCUGAGGCAGCCAUGCCGCGGGUAUGAAGAAGGCCUUCGGGUUGUAAAGGACUUUCAGCGGGGAGGCGGUACCCGCAGAAGAAGGACCGGCUAACUCCGUGCCAGCAGCCGCGGUAAUUC